This is a long non-coding RNA of Ctenocephalides felis (cat flea), 867 nucleotides long. RefSeq lists it as uncharacterized. The record is from RefSeq and is a predicted model, not a curated record. The transcript has 6 exons. NCBI's taxonomy places the organism in Eukaryota, Metazoa, Arthropoda, Insecta, Siphonaptera, Pulicidae.
CUAAUACGGAUUAUUUAUGGCAAAAUGACGUUUCGAAAUCACGGUGUUAUCUGGUGUUAUCAUAGAUCAUAGGUUAUAUCAAAACAUAAAGAUAGUCGUGAGGAGGAGUCAUAAAGUAGAUUUGUCGUGAGGUUCAGUAUACUAUUCAAUAUACUAUUUAUGGGAUGAAGUUUGUGAGUCGGUGAUCCUAUUGAACGCAUCCAUCAAACAGUAGUUGUCUAAUUCAGUUCAGGGAAUUUGCCUUAAGGUUAUUGACAGCUGGGACUUGAACAACCGGGUACAAUGUACAACUCGCUCUUUCAUUGGUCCAUACAGCCAGGACUUGGAAUGGAUAGAAUAAAUUGACUUGUAUUGAAACCGAGCUUCACGAUGAACCGAGCCUGCUCAAGAUGAAAUGAUUAUAGCUGAAGAAAAUGAAAAAAGAAGUUGAAGAUUUGGAAAUACUAUGCUGUAUGAUGAUAGGCUGGUGUUUACUGAACUUUGAAGUCACUUUGCUGCUGCCUUGAAGAAUUUGAGUCUGCUUGGAUUGAUAUACUUAAAAUGGUUUGAAUGCUGAUGAUGCUUUUCCAUAAGAUGAUGAACACUUUCCAGACCUUGCUGCUUCAAAUGCUUUUGAUGCUUUUAAAUGAGACGAAAAACUUCUUCCAGACUUUGUUCCUAAUGAGUUCCUUCCAGACUUUGCCGCUUUAAAGAAUUUGGAGUUUACUUCAAUCAUUUUAUAAUAGAAUACUUUGAUGCCUUGCCAAACGAAGCUUUGCUUCCCCAAAAAAAUUUUUCCAUUUUUUUCCCCAAUUUUUUUUACCCAAAAUUUUCUUCUACCCCAAAAAGUUUUUCCCCAAUUUUUUUUUCAAAAUUUUUGUCCCCAAA